AUUGAACGCUGGCGGCAGGCCUAACACAUGCAAGUCGAGCGGAUGAAGGGAGCUUGCUCCUGGAUUCAGCGGCGGACGGGUGAGUAAUGCCUAGGAAUCUGCCUGGUAGUGGGGGAUAACGUCCGGAAACGGGCGCUAAUACCGCAUACGUCCUGAGGGAGAAAGAGGGGGAUCUUCGGACCUCACGCUAUCAGAUGAGCCUAGGUCGGAUUAGCUAGUUGGUGGGGUAAAGGCCUACCAAGGCGACGAUCCGUAACUGGUCUGAGAAGAUGAUCAGUCACACUGGAACUGAGACACGGUCCAGACUCCUACGGGAGGCAGCAGUGGGGAAUAUUGGACAAUGGGCGAAAGCCUGAUCCAGCCAUGCCGCGUGUGUGAAGAAGGUCUUCGGAUUGUAAAGCACUUUAAGUUGGGAGGAAGGGCAGUAAGUUAAUACCUUGCUGUUUUGACGUUACCAACAGAAUAAGCACCGGCUAACUUCGUG
Molecule: ribosomal RNA, 484 nt
Filed under: uncultured bacterium
Lineage: Bacteria
Description: partial 16S ribosomal RNA
Rfam family: Bacterial small subunit ribosomal RNA
Source: RNAcentral